RNAcentral lists this ribosomal RNA (525 nucleotides) under uncultured bacterium. RNAcentral's name for it is "bacterial SSU rRNA". It matches the Rfam family "Bacterial small subunit ribosomal RNA", at positions 350 to 876 of the family's 1533-position model. The record is from RNAcentral.
AGCAGUGAGGAAUAUUGGACAAUGGGCGCAAGCCUGAUCCAGCCAUGCCGCGUGCAGGAAGACGGUCCUAUGGAUUGUAAACUGCUUUUAUACAGGAAGAAACAACUCUACGUGUAGAGUCUUGACGGUACUGUAAGAAUAAGGAUCGGCUAACUCCGUGCCAGCAGCCGCGGUAAUACGGAGGAUCCAAGCGUUAUCCGGAAUCAUUGGGUUUAAAGGGUCCGUAGGCGGGUUAAUAAGUCAGUGGUGAAAUCUCCCAGCUCAACUGGGGAACUGCCAUUGAUACUGUAGAUCUUGAAUUAUUAGGAAGUAACUAGAAUAUGUAGUGUAGCGGUGAGAUGCAUAGAUAUUACAUGGAAUACCGAUUGCGAAGGCAGGUUACUAACUAAUAUAUUGACGCUGAUGGACGAAAGCGUGAGUAGCGAACGGGAUUAGAUACCCUGGGAGUCCACGCCGUAAACGAUGGAUACUAGCUGUUCGGAGCAAUCUCAGUGGCUUAGCGAAAGUGAAAAUUAUCCCACCUGG